Molecule: long non-coding RNA, 237 nt
Filed under: Gorilla gorilla gorilla (western lowland gorilla)
Lineage: Eukaryota; Metazoa; Chordata; Mammalia; Primates; Hominidae
Description: lncRNA (ENSGGOG00000044321.1)
Source: RNAcentral
GCUGAAUGUUGGCAACACUAGGCUUUGAAACAGGACAAAUCACCGCUCAUCAAAGGUAUAAACAACAGAUAUCCUGGGAAAGGCACACCCCCAGUAUUUUUCUCUGUGUCUACCUGUUCAACUGAAACGAUUUGCUAGCUAUAAAUCCAGUAGUUACAACCUUUAAUUUCCACAUUGCUACAUGUGAACAUGAACCACCAUCCUUCCAGCUGUCAAUAAUAUCUCUUUGACACCUAC